UAGCGGAGAUAGUGCUGCUGUAGCUCCGCAAGUGAAGCGGACAGUGCACUGGUGAAUCGAUUGCUGCUGCCUCGGCUCGCCAGCACCAACGACUGUUGCACGACUCUUCAUUACUACUACGCGCGUGUGCUGUCAGCGGUGGGAUAUGAUGCGAUGAAGAAAGCUUGGACAACCAGCGUUAAUGCAUCGGUGCUGGAAGAUGUUGACAGCAAUGGAAGCAAUGACAGCAAUGAAUUUCAAACCGUUUUCCAAAAAGAAGAGCCCCUUGUUCACAUUGUACACAGUGUAUUGGGCCAGUAAAAAAGCUGCUGAGCCGCUUUAUGAGGCAUGAGGCCUACUGCAACUUGUCUGGCAGUGAGUUGAAACAACUUGAUGUCAGGUCACCAGAAGGGCGGAAGCAAGUUUUGGAAAUCGGAUCCGACACUGAAAAAUAAAUGCGUAACUGGGA
Molecule: long non-coding RNA, 448 nt
Organism: Rhipicephalus microplus (southern cattle tick)
Lineage: Eukaryota; Metazoa; Arthropoda; Arachnida; Ixodida; Ixodidae
Source: RefSeq, a predicted model, not a curated record